AUUCCAAAAAGACCCUUUUCAUUUCAUCCCACCCACGCAUCCCUAGCCCUAACCUCUUCACCGAGCUCUCUUCGGAUCUGCCGCACGGUCCUGUCUCGCCGCGCCUCCACCUCUCGGCGUCCCUCUCGUGCCUCGUCCCUUGUAUUCUGCUCGUUCUCUCGUGCCUAGUGUGCUCCACUGCUCGUAUUCUGCUCGCCGCACCUCUGUCCCUCACUGCGUCGCGCCUACGUGCCUCCGUGCUUCCAUGCCUCCCUCGCCGCGCCGCGCCUCAGUCCCUCGCGGCUGGUUUCUCUACCUGAAGUGCUGCUCGUCGUCCAUGGUUCUGCCUCUACAACAGCUGCUGUGUAUGUAAGAGUUGCAAUAACACCAGUCAUCCAUUCACUUUCACAGGUGUAUAUGGUGAUGACCGAAGAACUCCCGAAGAGAUGAAUGGGCCUCACAAAGAUGAAUGGUUCAGAGGGUGGGAGGUUGCAGUACAAGAACUGAUUUUUAGAUUAACUGUAUUACAUUGAAACUAUGUUUUCUAUGAUUUUCGUUAUUAGAUUUCAAUUUUCAAUAACACAAAUUACAUAACUUUGUGAUUUUUUAUGGUGUACCAUGAUAUGAUAAAGACACAAACUACAUUCUAUGAAUCUACACAAAUAUAAAAUAUUACAUGAUCAUAAUGAAUACUUGAAUGAUGGAAACUAAA
Molecule: non-coding RNA, 691 nt
Organism: Arachis ipaensis
Lineage: Eukaryota; Viridiplantae; Streptophyta; Magnoliopsida; Fabales; Fabaceae
Source: RefSeq, a predicted model, not a curated record